UUCAUUCUAAUUCAUCUAUUAUCAACAGUACUGUGGGCACUUUAUAUAAACUACAUUGUAAUCCAUAACAAACAUAGCCCAGUCCUGCUGUUUUCCAGUGUUUUUGCGGUUGAUCGUGAGAUGUGCUGGAGCUCCGCAGCGCCCCCCUGCAGCUCGAAAACUUUCCCGUCUCGAAGUGAUUUCCUCCCCUGUUUUUACUUCCUGUUUUCUAAGGGAGUCACUUAGAUCGGUUCUGCUCAUCGGGGUUUCACUAUGCGUUUCUUCUUCUAGCGGUAGUUUUUACCGAUCUCUCCGUAGGGGUCUCAGGACGGACUGGGACAUCCACGCGUAUAUUCUGCUUUAGAUGGAGGUCGGAGGGCUGAAGUCAGUCGUGUCUACGGCUCUAAUGGAUUUUACGUAGACUUGUGUUUUGUUUUAAUGCUUUUUACUGCCUUCCUGGUCGUUUUAUUAUCAUUUCUUGCAUUCGGUUUCCUCCUCCGCGGAGUGUCCAGCCUCGACCGCCCCUUUAACUCCAGCAACAAUGUAACUAACUCGAUCGCUCUUUCAUCUGUCUUCCGCCGAGCUCGAGCUCAACCCCGAAGACCGCCGCGCGCGGUCGCCGCUUUUAAAGUUUGACGCUGUCGUCACGUUAUCGUGUAUUUAUUCGCCAAACUCUACGAUGGCCGAGCUGCAGCGGCCGACGCUGUGCUGCUGUCGGAAAGUGCUGGCCGUGCCCGGUAAUAAGUCCUGCGAGGGCGGCCGGAGUCUGGCGUACUGUCGCCUGGUGGACGUCGCGUCGGCGUCCAACUUCCACAGCUUUAAACUCCGACAUUUCCACCUGGACCUCCACCUGAACUUCGCCGUCAAGAGGAUGACGGGAUGGCAGGUUCUGGAGCUCACGCCCGUCCAGCCCGGCGUCCAGUCCCUCAUUCUGGACACGCAUCCUUCGUUAUUAAUUCAUUCCGUGGACUGCAAGGUGCCCGGCGCGUCUGGUGCUCCCGACGUGUUUUUGUCGCUCACCUACCGAAUAGAACCGUUCACCGAUUACGGAUCGUCUCUGAACAUCAGCCUCCCGGCCGCGGUGAUCCGGCCGCACCGGGCUUUCCGUGUCACCAUCCGCUACACUACCACAGACAGCCCUGCGAUUUGGUGGCUGGAUGCAGAGCUGACAUGCGGACAAACCCGUCCGUUGGUCUUCACUCAGGGUCACUCGGUCUGCAACCGGUCGUUUUUUCCCUGUUUUGACACGCCAGCUGUCAAAAGCACCUACUCUGCCACUGUCAGGGUACCAGAGGGUGUUACAGUAUUGAUGAGUGCCUCAAGAAGUGCAUACUCUAAACAGGACAGGGUUUUCCAGUUCUCCAUGGAGUACCCUGUCCCAGCCUACUUGGUUGCCCUGGUGGCAGGAGACCUACAGCAUGCAGACAUUGGGCCCAGGAGUCGUGUGUGGGCAGAGCCCUGCAUCCUAACGUGUGCGGUCAGUAAACUGGGCGGCAAUGUGGAGCGCUGGCUUAAUGUGGCAGAGGGGCUUUUUGGGCCCUAUGUAUGGGGAAGGUACGACAUAGUGUUCCUUCCUCCUUCAUUCCCCAUCGUUGCCAUGGAGAAUCCCUGUCUUACUUUCAUAAUUUCCUCCAUACUGGAGAGUCAAGAGUUUCUGCUGAUUGAUGUCAUCCAUGAGAUUGCUCACGGCUGGUUUGGCAAUGCCGUCACCAAUGCUACCUGGGAAGAAAUGUGGCUCAGUGAGGGUCUGGCCACUUAUGCUCAGAGGCGCAUUACCACAGAGGCCUAUGGAGAAGCCUUCACUUGUCUUGAGACAGUGUUCCGUCUAGAUGCUCUUCACAGACAGAUGCGUCUUCUUGGAGACAACAAUCCUGUCAGUAAGCUGCAGGCCAAAUUUGAGCCAGGUGUAAACCCCAGCAGUCUAAUGAAUCUGUUCACCUAUGAGAAAGGCUUCUGCUUUGUAUCUUACCUCUCACAGCUGUGUGGCGACAUCAAGAGAUUUGAUAGCUUUCUUAGGGCCUACAUUGAGAAGUUCAGAUUCAGCAGCGUAAUCGCUCAGGAUCUGUUGGACUUUUUCCUUGGCUUCUUCCCUGAGCUGAAGGAGAGCUGUGUUGCUGAACGAGAGGGUCUGGAAUUUGAGCGAUGGUUAAAUGGCUGUGGUCCUCCGUUAUGUGAACCGGAUCUCUCGGCGGGUAGAGCUCUAACAGGCACUGUUCAGCACCUGUGUGAUCUUUGGGGCAUGGAUGCCCCUGACCCCCAAGUGAUCUCUACAUUUGACCUCUCCUCCUGGAGCACCUUUCAGACUGUCCUCUUCCUGGACCGCCUUCUAGACCGCUCACCUCUGUCUCAAGAAGUGAUGAGUCUUUUGUCAAGCUGCUACUCUGCGUUGUUGGACGGCAUGAACGCUGAAGUCCAGAUUCGAUGGCUGCAGAUUGUUGUGCGGAACAGCUUUUAUCCUGAUCUGCCCCGAGUUCGCAGCUUCUUGCAUAAACACACCUCACGGAUGUACACAGUGCCCCUUUAUGAGGAUCUGUGUGGAGGGGUGAUGAAGUGUUUUGCUGUGGAGGUAUUUUAUCAAACUCAGGCCCGUUUGCACCCAAAUCUAUGCAGGACACUUCAGCAGAUACUGUUCCAAAGCAGCGCCCUUAACACCAGCACAGCUCCAUCUUUACUCACAUCACCACCCUCUGCCCCUUCCUCACCCACAGACCCCCCUGCCAACGGGACCAUCGCCCUGCGAGACGUCAAUGUGUCCGCAUGAGUUCAAAACUUCUGUGGAGAGGCAGAAGGUUUGAGGUGAAAAGCCAGAAGGGCAGGAACUGGACAGAAAUUGAACUCCUUGGCUCAGACUGGACCAUAGCAAUGCAUUAUGGGAGGCCAGCGCUGAUGGGUGUACACUCUCACCAACACUGGGAUGUCUGUUUAAAAAGGCAGACACUGAUUUUUUAUAAGCUAAACAUAAAGCUGCUCAGGGCUGUGGAACGAAGUGGAGGACAAAUGUUUGCAAUGGUUAUUAUGCCAUAACCUGUGUGUUUGUGUGUUUGUGUGUGUGUGUGUGUGUGUGUGUGUGCGUGUGCGUGUGCGUGCACAUAUGGAUAGGGGUAUGUCAGUAUCAAGGAUACUGGUUGUCAUCUGUUAGCCAUUAACUUUUUGAGUGUGUGUAGAUGUGUGUGUCUCGCAUAUGUUCCGCUGGCCUAUGCACAUCAUCUCAUAUGUUGUGUUUGCAUCUGUUCUCUGAGAAAUCAGUUGGAGGACUUAAGAUUUCAGAGACUUUCCUUUUGCUAGCUAUGCAGGGGUGUUCUGAGGAGGACCAAUCCCUGACUAAUCGCCUUCCUGGACAGUGUUUGAGAAGUGGCAUGAAUGCACACAGUCUGUACUCACCGUGCAAAUCUGAUCAUGGCCUAAUGAAGAUCCUGCAGAACCAACACACUCUCAGCCUUUCUGUGACAAACAGAUUGUUUCCUUUUUGUUUGAACUGGAAUCUGUUUUUCUCAAGCUUCUCUUUCCUGGUGCUAACCACUCAACGUUAAGUCUCAGGUAUAUCAAGACAGAAGACGUGGAGCCAUGUUAGUGCCUUUCAAACCUUUCAACACUGUGGGUGUUUUCAACACUGCUGUUCAAAUGAACAGCCUGAAUUUGUUAUUUGAGCCAUUCUAGGAUGACAUUGGUGACCAUUGUCCUACUUACAUUGUGUUAGAGGUUGCUUUCAGGAAUUGAGAUGCUGUGGUGAUUUUUUUUUUUUUAACCAAUGCAUUUCUUUCACUUCUUUUUUAUUUUAUAAUAGGCAAAUUUCCCUUAAAUUAGUACGUUUUGAAGAGAAGGGAACAGAUUAUGAUUUGUGAGAAUGCAGUGAGUGUGGUGGGUGUUCAGGGUGGUGUUAUAGGUAGAUGGGUCCAAGCUGAUCAUCAGUGGCCUUAACUACAAGCACAGUAGAAGACUGGUUCAGUUUUACAGGUAAUAAAGACAUCAGAGAGCACUUUGUGUGUCGUACCUGAGGAUCCUACCUCGGAUUUCACUUUCUUGCAUUUGUGGUAGACAAAUUCUCAAAUUCACUUUUGUUGACUGAAAGCUUAAACACUGCACAUCCAACAAUAAAAGGGGUUGUAUACAACCCUCAUCUAUUGAUGUCUACUUUAAUGAGUAAAUGUGUUACUGAUCCUGUCUGUGUGUGCUCUGAUUUUUGUUUUCAGCCAUGUGACCCCUUCAGGACAAUUUUUUCAUGUUUUUUUUUCUAUAGGUUCAACUUAGCAACUAUGGAAUUGAGAUUGAAUUUUUGUAGAUGCUAAAUCUUUUGGGGAAUGAACUUAAUUUAAUUACAACUACGACAUUAGUAAUUACUGUUACUUUACCAUUACCUACACCAUUGCUUUAGAAAACAGUAACAUUGAUAUUACCACGUUAAUAAUAUGAGAAAUAAAUCAUUGUUUAACAUGACAACGGUUAACAUGCAAAAAAAAAAAAAAACUAUAGGCGCAGACUAUAAUAUGAAAUGCAACUUUCACUUUGAGUAUCAGGAAAUAUUUAUACACAUUCCAGUUAUGCAAUAAAAACGAUGCUUACCUUUUGUCAGUAAAACGGAUGGGCCUGUAUUUUUUUUUUUAAUCUAAACUGGGAGUAAAG
This is an RNA transcript of Sinocyclocheilus anshuiensis, 4599 nucleotides long. It is a transcript of the gene named arginyl aminopeptidase-like 1, with no coding region annotated. NCBI's taxonomy places the organism in Eukaryota, Metazoa, Chordata, Actinopteri, Cypriniformes, Cyprinidae. The record is from RefSeq and is a predicted model, not a curated record. The transcript has 12 exons.